Molecule: long non-coding RNA, 4664 nt
Organism: Mus musculus (house mouse)
Lineage: Eukaryota; Metazoa; Chordata; Mammalia; Rodentia; Muridae
Product: predicted gene 12299
Exons: 3
Source: RefSeq, marked validated
AGGAAGAAGAGUUUCUCCUUGGUCUGAGAGCACCUGAAAGGGUUGUGAGGGACCAGGUACACCUCACCUGGGUGGUCUCUUAAACUAACUAAGGAUUCCUUCUGAUCCCUGUCAAGCGGAUGAACUCAGAUGCCCAGCUUCUCCAGGAAAGAAACAGUCACUCUCAGUCCUGCCAAGAUCAGGAUGGAGGAAAGUGGAUAUGCAACAGGAUGGUAGUGAGAUAGUGACAUAUUGAGAGAGUUUUGUAGUAGGGGUGGGGGAGAUGUAGGAAUGGAGGAUAGUUCUGUGCUGUGUCCUCCUGAGGGAAAUGGAGGAAUACUUUCCGUCCUCCUCUGAACCACUGACACCAGAGCUUCUAAACUGGAGCUGACGUGAAUUCCUUCACUUCUUGGAUACAUUUGGCCAUAUCUGAAGACCGUUUUGACUAUCAUGCGUUGGAGAUCUCUAACCAGCAUCAGGUGACUAGAGAUGCUCUUUAAGCAACCUUUACAACACACAGAAGAGCAAAACAAAACAAACUGCCCAACCCCGAAUGUCAUCAGUGCUGAGAAACCUGGCCUAAGAGUGACUGCGGCUUAUGGAUUAUCACCAGCGUCAUGGAGCUACAUCAAACUGGAGUGCUCUCUAAUGUCCAUAACUUUGUAUCUCUAAGUCUCUGAAGACCCAACCCACACAUCACCGCAGUGGAUCAGAGGCAGGGAUAGGAACAAAUAAGAGAGAACAAUAAUUGGGCACCUACUAUGUGCCAGAAGUCCCAAUAGAGUAGAUACACUACAGUCCUUCACUACUAAAGGGCAAAUAUAAAACUGUCCUGGGUCCCCCCACACACACACUCCCCCUUUUCCUUUGCCAUCAACUGGUUAGACAUGCAAGUAGAGAAAUUCAAGAAUUUGGGAAGUCACUCCUAUUCGUUAAGAUAAGAGAAAUUCAACUUCAGCCGUGCAUGAAGGCUUCUGUGGUGUUCACACAGGAAUCCACAGAAGGAGAAAGAUAAUAGGGCUAGGGGAAAUGGGAGUGGCCUCAGGCCCUGAAGUUCAUCUGGCAUCCCAUCUGUCAAGUCUAACUUGACAUCCAGCCCACCAGUCUGGCUGCCAAUCAAAUCCUCCAAUCAGGCUUCUGGGAGUGAAGUCUUAACUAGGAAGGAUUCCUGUUGCUCUUGCUCUCCACAGGCUCUGAUGACCACCUCCUCCACCUGGGCUGAGGAAAGAGAAAUAGAGAGCAAGUGCUCACCCAAAGCUGGUAUAUUGAGAAUGUCUUGCGCGUGCUCGACUGGCCAGGAAGAACGACGCUGCAACAGGAUCCUUCUGCACACGUUUAUUGGGAGAGCUUGAUUGUAGAGGCGAAAAGACCCCGAGCCCAGAACUGGUGCUGCUUUUAUAGGCCUAGGAGAGGCGUGUCUUACACCCGGAUUGGUUAUGCACUACACCUCAUUUGCAUGUUCCUCAUCUGAUUGGCUACUCUCUCUCAGUACCUCACAGAGCCUCAUUAUCAUACCUCAUUUGCAUGUCUCACAUCUGAUUGGUUAUACUCUCAGUACCUUACAGAACCUCAUUAUCAUGCCCGGGCCAGGCAGUGUCUUUGCAAAAAACUUUACUGCAUAUGUACACAUUAGUUGUUUGUCCAAACUUAUGCGUGGUGGCCAGCAGUAGUCAGUGCCACUCUGCAACGGCACAUGUGGCUUCCCACAAGAAUGGGUGGCCAACCCUUGCUUAUUAGAAUUACCAGGGCCCAGUUUUCAAACUAAAACCUGCAGUAACAUCAGGAGCCCUGUAUUCUUUCUUGCACUUGUGACUAUCCUAGUUAAAUCUGUACUGUGUAGCUUCCUGUCCAGUGUCUCAUUAAAAUGUGAGCUUCGUGUGAUAGGGGACCGGAGCUGUCUUGGUCACCAGUGUAUCCCCAGGAGGAAACAGCUAACCAAGGGUACAUUCUGUGUGGCUGUCCUGGUUAGCUUUUCGUCAACUUGACGCAAGCUAGAGUUAUCUGGGAAAAGGAACCUCAAUAGAGAAAGUGUCUCCAUCAAAUCACCCGUGGGCAAGUCUGUGGGGGCAUAGUCUUGAUUAAUGAUCGAUGAAUUGAUCAUAACUGAUAAUAAUCGAUAAUAAUGAUGAGGGGGUCCAGCCCACUUUGGGUGAUGUCAUCCCUGCACAGGUGGUCCUGGGCUGCUUUAUAAAGCAGGCUGGUAAAUCUGUGGGAAGCAAGCCAGUGAUCAGCACUCCUUUAUGGCCCCUGCUUCAGUUUCAGCCUUCAGGUUCCUCCCAGACCUGAGUUCCUGUCUUGGGUGGCUUUCCUCACCAAUGGACUGUGAUCAGAAUGUGUAAGCCAAAUAUAACCCUUUCCUACCCAAGUUGCUUUAGCCAGUGCUUUAUCACAGCAACGGAAAGCAGGUAAGACAGUGUGCUAAUUCUCCAACUCUCUUAUCCCUUGUUCAUAUCGGAUCUCGACUUCUUAGACAAAUACCAACAGUCCCAAAGACACUACAGAUAUCACAAACCUCUCAGAGUCACCACCACCACCCCCCGAAAAUCUAAAUCCAAAGCAAUGAUGGGAUGAUGGCUGUCCUUCCUAAACUGCCUGUGCUCAAAGAGGAAACCUGGGAUUUUUUGAGCUUCUGCCAAGCCGAAGGGAGGGCAGGGACCUAAGACAGUUCUGGCUUGGGCCCCAGGCAAUGGGGAGAGCAGGAGCACAAAUCGCAUUAGCACGGUGCUCAGCUGCUGAAUUAGAGGUUGCAGCCUGCUCAGCAGCUCUUCCUAAUAGGACAUUAAUGUUCAUUCUGAGCAAUUACUGUAUUUGCAACGGUUUCUUAAUGUUCGGCUUCUGGAGCCUCAGAGCUAAGGGCCUGUGUUUCCGGUAACCAGCUCUCUACUAAGGCGGACAGAUGAACUUCAGAAAGGCUCUUCCCAGCCGGAUCUGGGGAAAGUUCAGCAGCUGGCAGACUCUGUACCUGGCUUCCCUGACCUGAUCGCACCCUACAGACUUUCAAGUGAGAGUAGACAGAGGCAGAGAAGCAUAAAGCGAUCGUUCACCGGAGAUGAAAGGCCUCACUUCCUGCCGGCGGUGGACAGGGCUGCAUCUGUUUGUCUGCAGCAACUAGAGGAGCCAGUAUCUCAGCAGAACUGGCUCAGAGCACACCCAGUGGACAAAUCUGACAAAUGUCUUUCACCAGCCUUUGUAGAACUUUGUGCAGUGCUUUCUAGAAACAAGCAGAAGCUGUGUCAAGCAUAUAAUCUCCAACUAGUGCUGCCUUCAGGGUCUUUAAGAAGAAACAUGUCCCAGGCAGCCACAGGGGACCAGGCACCAAUGAAGAGGAUUUUGUUAGGAGAACAGAACAAUUGGUCAGGGGCAGUAAUUCCCAGACCAUGGGACACUCCACCCUUCAAACCAAAACCAAUCUAUGAGUAAACUGCCAAGGACUGUCCUUUCACUCAGGAUCCAGCCUUGAAUCAAGACUCUAGUAUUGCCCUCACCCCCCCCCCCCCAGCACUGCCCGUGUUCUUCACAAAGGACUGUGAGCGUGGCCCCUGUCAUCAGUUUGCUGGGAGCAUUUUCCAGGCUCUACACAGAGCUGGGCAGAGCCAAGUGUCUUCUCCCUCAUUCAUUCACUCUCUAAACCUUUACAUAACUGAAAAUACAUCAAGUAGUGGGGGCUCUAGAAAGAAAAAUAUGACAAAGCCAGGAGACAGAGUAUGGCUGUAGGGAGUCAGGAAUGUUUUUCCUUUGAGGCGCAAUUUGAUCAGAAACCCAAUGACGUGAGACUCUGCCAGACCCACAUAUAAUGAAAGUCAGGGCUAGGGAAGUAACUCGUUGCUAAAGUAUAUGUUUGGCAUGUGACAAAACUUUAUUAUCAGCCCCGUCCAAACAAAAUAAUAAACAAACAAACAAACAAAUGGUAGUUACAGGGUAGGAGAAGGCCUGGCUGAAUCUGAAGACACACACCUGUAAGCUUUAACCCCAGCACUCAGGGAGCAGAGGCAGGUGGAUUUCUGUGAAUAUGAAGCCCAUCUACUCUACAUAUUGAGUUUCAAGCCAGCCACUGUUACAGGAUUAGAUCAUAUCAAAAACAACAAAACAAAAUAAAACAAAUACCCCAAAACAUUAGAAGUCUUGAGCCUUACAGAAAUCCUUAGGAUAUGCGGUUAGUUUUUCCUCUUAUAAGCACUGAGGUGUGCCCUUCCCGCAGCCUUGAGCAGGCUAAACAGACCUUAAUUGUUUGCCACAGUUGGUCUUCAACCAAUUUAGCCUGACCUAGGGUGGAGUCUUCUGCCUUGCCCUACCUGCAAUUUCCUACAGGAGCAGACUGCCCGCUGAGCUUGCUUUGCAACAUAAUCCAGCUGAAACAAAGGAUGGGUCUGUGGAUUUUCUCUACACUUCCAGCCUCCCUUUCAGGUUCCCAGCUGGACAGCUACACUGAGGAAUGAACCUAGUGUCCUCUGCAUGUGCUGAAUUGCAACAACAGGCCUUUUUUCUUGUAGAAGGGGCACGUUUUUUAAAAAUUGACAGAGGGUCUCACUCAAUUACUCAUGCUGUCCUCGAACCUGGGCCUGUCUUGAACAUGAGAUCCACCUUCCUCUGUCUCCACGGGGCCCUGGGAUCACCACCUACAUCACCAGGCAUGGCUAAAGGCUUGGGUUUUUAUUAUGAAAAGAUUAAAGAGCUUUGAGAUGAAG